AAGACCUUGCGUUUUUGGAUAGGCCGAUGUCUGAUUAGCUAGUUGGUAGGGUAAUGGCCUACCAAGGCUUCGAUCAGUAGCUGGUCUGAGAGGACGGCCAGCCACACUGGGACUGAGACACGGCCCAGWCUCCUACGGGAGGCAGCAGUGGGGAAUUUUGGACAAUGGGCGCAAGCCUGAUCCAGCCAUGCCGCGUGAAUGAAGAAGGCCUUCGGGUUGUAAAGCUCUUUCAGCCGAGAAGAAAAGAUUGCGACUAAUAAUCGCRAUUCAUGACGGUACCGGCAGAAGAAGCACCGGCUAACUACGUGCCAGCAGCCGCGGUAAUACGUAGGGUGCGAGCGUUAAUCGGAAUUACUGGGCGUAAAGGGUGCGCAGGCGGUUUUGUAAGUCAGAUGUGAAAUCCCCGGGCUUAACCUGGGAACU
This 423-nucleotide ribosomal RNA is filed under the name uncultured bacterium. RNAcentral describes it as "bacterial SSU rRNA". It matches the Rfam family "Bacterial small subunit ribosomal RNA", at positions 207 to 622 of the family's 1533-position model. The record is from RNAcentral.